RNAcentral lists this ribosomal RNA (800 nucleotides) under Arthrobacter pascens. RNAcentral's name for it is "bacterial SSU rRNA". It matches the Rfam family "Bacterial small subunit ribosomal RNA", at positions 690 to 1486 of the family's 1533-position model. The record is from RNAcentral. Lineage: Bacteria; Bacillati; Actinomycetota; Actinomycetes; Micrococcales; Micrococcaceae.
GCAGAUAUCAGGAGGAACACCGAUGGCGAAGGCAGGUCUCUCCGCAUUAACUGACGCUGAGGAGCGAAAGCAUAGGAGCGAACAGGAUUAGAUACCCUGGUAGUCCAUGCCGUAAACGUUGGGCACUAGGUGUGGGGGACAUUCCACGUUUUCCGCGCCGUAGCUAACGCAUUAAGUGCCCCGCCUGGGGAGUACGGCCGCAAGGCUAAAACUCAAAGGAAUUGACGGGGGCCCGCACAAGCGGCGGAGCAUGCGGAUUAAUUCGAUGCAACGCGAAGAACCUUACCAAGGCUUGACAUGGACUGGAUCGCCGCAGAAAUGUGGUUUCCCCUUUGGGGCUGGUUCACAGGUGGUGCAUGGUUGUCGUCAGCUCGUGUCGUGAGAUGUUGGGUUAAGUCCCGCAACGAGCGCAACCCUCCUUUUAUGUUGCCAGCCCGUUAUGGCGGGGACUCAUAGGAGACUGCCGGGGUCAACUCGGAGGAAGGUGGGGAGGACGUCAAAUCAUCAUGCCCCUUAUGUCUUGGGCUUCACGCACGCUACAAUCGCCGGUACAAAGGGUUGGGAUACUGUGAGGGGGAGCUAAUCCCAAAAAGCCGGUCUCAGUUCGGAUUGGGGUCUGCAACUCAACCCCAUGAAGUAGGUGUGGAUAGUAAUCGCAGAUCAGCAACGAUGCGGUGAAUACGUUCCCGGGCCUCCUACACCCCGCCCGCCAAGUCACGAAAGUUGGUAACACCAGAAGCCGGUGGCCUUACCCCUUGUGGGAGGAAGCUGUCCAAGGUGGGACUGGCGAUGGACUAAGU